AUUGUUAUUAAAAAUAAAGGGAGACCUCAAAGGUGUUACCAUUGAGUAAUAAUGCUUCAAAUCAAUGCCUAUAGUUUUAAAUAAUGAUAUAAAUUAUUAAAUAUUUUUCGUAUUUUCGCGAAAACUGACAACGUGUUUUAAAGCCUUUGGUACAGUGAAAUGCACAAAUACUUCAAGUUAACUUCUACAUAUACAUCCAAAAUCAUCUCUGCACAUGUGUUCAAUAUUUUCUGAUUUAAAAAAAUUCAAACUGCCACGCAAAACGU
Molecule: non-coding RNA, 266 nt
Organism: Paramuricea clavata
Lineage: Eukaryota; Metazoa; Cnidaria; Anthozoa; Malacalcyonacea; Plexauridae
Source: the annotation of a GenBank genome assembly